Molecule: transfer RNA, 74 nt
Filed under: bacterium
Lineage: Bacteria
Also listed under: 2 other names
Description: tRNA-Ala
Rfam family: tRNA
About the family: Transfer RNA (tRNA) molecules are approximately 80 nucleotides in length. Their secondary structure includes four short double-helical elements and three loops (D, anti-codon, and T loops).
Source: RNAcentral
GGGGCUGUAGCUCAGUUGGCUAGAGCACCUGCUUUGCAAGCAGGGGGUCGUGGGUUCGAUUCCCACCAGCUCCA